AAGAAAACAUGAAUAAAAACCAAAUGAAGUGAUGUGGUCCUAAAGAUGAACUAAUCUUUAACCUAUAUGUGAAUGGUUAAUAUAGAUCCUAAAAUUUGGGUGAUUUAAUGUUAAAAAUCAGCUUUGAUGCCCAUCAACAAUGCAAUUUCCUAGAUUGUUGGCUUUCACCUUUUUUAUUCCACUUGAGAAAUUAUAGAUUCGAAUUCUGCAAUAAAGUUUUAGCAAGUUUCAUAUUAAUUCUGAUAGUAGGGGUUAUCCUGACAAAUUGGAGAUUGAACCAUUGAAGUCAUUGCCUAGGAAAAUGUUUAUUGGUUUCAAUACCUUUUCUAUGGUAUGGCAAACAAUUUUCUCAAUCUCUGCCAUUGGAUUAGCUAAUAUGAUCUCUGUUCUUUUUUUCUUCUACUCAAAUUUUGAAGAACUCAUUUUGGUUGCUAUGUCGUAUGCUUUUGUGGCUUUCCAUUGCUACAUUUUCCAAUUUAAAUUGGAUGCUUUAGGGUCCUCAAAGCAUCAUUAUAUAUGAAUUAGAUAUUUGAUGCUGCUGUGAGUCUCCUUUG
RNAcentral lists this unclassified non-coding RNA (554 nucleotides) under Hevea brasiliensis (rubber tree). The record is from RNAcentral. Lineage: Eukaryota; Viridiplantae; Streptophyta; Magnoliopsida; Malpighiales; Euphorbiaceae.